This 927-nucleotide ribosomal RNA is filed under the name archaeon enrichment culture clone AOM-SR-A18. RNAcentral's name for it is "bacterial SSU rRNA". It matches the Rfam family "Archaeal small subunit ribosomal RNA", at positions 1 to 922 of the family's 1478-position model. The record is from RNAcentral.
UCGACGAUUUUCCGGUUGAUCCUGCCGGAGGCUACUGCUAUCGGGGUUCGAUUAAGUCAUGCGAGUUAAAUGUUCUUCGUGAACAUAGCGAACUGCUCAGUAACACGUGGAUAACCUACCCUUAGGACCGGAAUAACCCCGGGAAACUGGGGAUAAUACCGGAUAAGCCAUAGACGCUGGAAUGCCCUAUGGUUCAAAGCUCCGGCGCCUAAGGAUGGAUCUGCGGUCUAUCAGGUUGUAGUGGGUGUAACGUACCUACUAGCCGACGACGGAUACGGGUUGUGAGAGCAAGAGCCCGGAGAUGGAUUCUGAGACACGAAUCCAGGCCCUACGGGGUGCAGCAGGCGCGAACACUUUACAAUGCGGGAAACCGCGAUAAGGGAACCCCGAGUGCCAGCAUCAAAUGUUGGCUGUCCAGAUGGUUAAAAAUCAUUUGUUAGCAAGGGCCGGGCAAGACCGGUGCCAGCCGCCGCGGUAACACCGGCGGCCCGAGUGGUAGCCGUUUUUAUUGGGUCUAAAGGGUCCGUAGCCGGCCUGAUAAGUCCUUUGGGAAAUCUGACAGCUUAACUGUCAGGCUUCUAAGGGAUACUGUCAGGCUUGGGACCGGAAGAGGUAAGGGGUACUCCAGGGGUAGGAGUGAAAUCUUGUAAUCCCUGGGGGACCAUCUGUGGCGAAGGCGCCUUACCAGAACGGGUCCGACGGUGAGGGACGAAAGCUAGGGGAGCAAACCGGAUUAGAUACCCGGGUAGUCCUAGCUGUAAACGAUGCUCGCUAGGUGUCAGACACGGUGCGACCGUGUUUGGUGCCGCAGGGAAGCCGUUAAGCGAGCCACCUGGGAAGUACGGUCGCAAGGCUGAAACUUAAAGGAAUUGGCGGGGGAGCACUACAACGGGUGGAGCCUGCGGUUUAAUUGGAUUCAACGCCGGG